AAAAUUUUAGUUACAAAGAGGAUUAUUGAAGAUCACUGGAGAAGGCAAUGAUUAAUCCAAAGAUGGUCCAGCGAAAUUCGGUACUUCCUUAAACCCAGCCUUGGAUUCAGCCAUUUUUCCAAGGUGCACUGAUUGCUUUUACUUGGAAAAGGAAGAUUAGCCCUGAGCUAACAUCCACCACCAGUCCUCCUCUUCUUGCUGAGGAAGACCGGCCGUGAGCUAACAUCCAUGCCCAUCUUCCUCUAUUUUAUAUGUGGGACGCCUGCCAGAGCAUGGUUUGACAAGCGGUACAUAUGUCUGCGCCUGGGAUCUGAACCGGUAAACCUCAGACUGCUGAAGCAGAACAUGCGAACUUAACCACUGCACCACCGAG
RNAcentral lists this long non-coding RNA (373 nucleotides) under Equus caballus (horse). RNAcentral's name for it is "lncRNA (ENSECAG00000048439.1)". The record is from RNAcentral. Lineage: Eukaryota; Metazoa; Chordata; Mammalia; Perissodactyla; Equidae.